UAAGACAGAGGUGGCAAGCGUUGUUCGGAAUUACUGGGCGUAAAGGGCGCGCAGGCGGUCCGCCAAGUCCCGUGUGAAAUCCCCCGGCUCAACUGGGGAACUGCGCGGGAAACUAGUGGACUUGAGUUCGGGAGAGGAAAGCGGAAUUCCGGGUGUAGCGGUGAAAUGCGCAGAUAUCCGGAGGAACACCAGUGGCGAAGGCGGCUUUCUGGACCGACACUGACGCUGAGGCGCGAAAGCUGGGGGAGCGAACGGGAUUAGAUACCCCGGUAGUCCUAGCCCUAAACGAUGAGCACUGGGUGUAGGGGGUAUGAACCCCCCCUGUGCCGAAGCUAACGCAUUAAGUGCUCCGCCUGGGGAGUACGGUCGCAAGGCUG
Molecule: ribosomal RNA, 377 nt
Filed under: uncultured Acidobacteriota bacterium
Lineage: Bacteria; Pseudomonadati; Acidobacteriota
Description: bacterial SSU rRNA
Rfam family: Bacterial small subunit ribosomal RNA
Source: RNAcentral